CCUACGGGUGGCAGCAGUGAGGAAUAUUGGUCAAUGGGCGCGAGCCUGAACCAGCCAAGUAGCGUGAAGGAUGACUGCCCUACGGGUUGUAAACUUCUUUUAUAAAGGAAUAAAGUGAGGCACGUGUGCCUUUUUGUAUGUAAUUUAUGAAUAAGGAACGGCUAACUCCGUGCCAGCAGCCGCGGUAAUACGGAGGAUCCGAUCGUUAUCCGGAUUUUUUGGGUUUAAAGGGAGCGUAGGUGGGUUGUUAAGUCAGUUGUGAAAGUUUGCGGCACAACCGUAAAAUUGCAAUUGAUACUGGCAGCCUUGAGUACAGUUGAGGUAGGCGGAAUUCGUGGUGUAGCGGUGAAAUGCUUAGAUAUCACGAAGAACUCCGAUUGCGAAGGCAGCUUACUAACCUGCCACUGACAUUGAUGCUCGAAAGUGUGGGUAUCAAACAGGAUUAGAUACCCGAGUAGUC
RNAcentral lists this ribosomal RNA (460 nucleotides) under uncultured bacterium. Its description in RNAcentral is "partial 16S ribosomal RNA". It matches the Rfam family "Bacterial small subunit ribosomal RNA", at positions 338 to 795 of the family's 1533-position model. The record is from RNAcentral.